This 253-nucleotide ribosomal RNA is filed under the name uncultured bacterium. Its description in RNAcentral is "partial 16S ribosomal RNA". It matches the Rfam family "Bacterial small subunit ribosomal RNA", at positions 524 to 776 of the family's 1533-position model. The record is from RNAcentral.
GACGAACCGUGCGAACGUUGUUCGGAAUCACUGGGCUUAAAGGGCGCGUAGGCGGGCUAUCAAGUCCGGGGUGAAAUCCUCCAGCUCAACUGGAGAACGGCCUCGGAUACUGAUGGCCUCGAGGGGGGUAGGGGCACGCGGAACUGUGGGUGGAGCGGUGAAAUGCGUUGAUAUCCAUAGGAACUCCGGUGGCGAAAGCGGCGUGCUGGAUCCCUUCUGACGCUGAGGCGCGAAAGCCAGGGGAGCGAACGGG